UGGUGGAGUGAUUUGUCUGGUUAAUUCCGUUAACGAACGAGACCUCGACCUGCUAAAUAGUUCAGCGAAUCCUCGGAUUUGUCUGCAACUUCUUAGAGGGACUUUGCCCGUUAGGGCAAGGAAGUUCGAGGCAAUAACA
RNAcentral lists this ribosomal RNA (139 nucleotides) under uncultured eukaryote. Its description in RNAcentral is "partial 18S ribosomal RNA". It matches the Rfam family "Eukaryotic small subunit ribosomal RNA", at positions 1299 to 1458 of the family's 1831-position model. The record is from RNAcentral.